UCUGGCAGCAGUUAGUGCUCUUAUGUUUUAGAGAAAACUGAUAAAAUUAGGGGAGGGGAGGAUGGGGAAGGAUUUCACCUUGCUUUGUUCCCUUGAGGAAAGUUCUGUUCCUUCUGAAGCAUCAGGAGAGGCAGUAUGGCCUAGUGGAUAGAGCUGGUCUCAAAACUACAGAGACCUGGAUUCAAAUUCUACCUAUAUGAUCUCAUGGUGAAGGAGAUUAGAGGUGAUGACUCCCUUGUGAGCUGAAAGACAUCAGGAGAGUGAGUGAGAUGCCACCAGACAUGGGACUGGAGUCUGUGCUAAGGUGUGCAGCCUAUUGGUCUAGCUCUGAGGCCCAGGGGAAUGAGAAUCCACCUUUAGGACCUAGCCUAGCAGUAGCAGAGACAAAGGCUAAGCUGCAUUUGGACAUGAACUUAGUGGGACCAAUGGUA
Molecule: long non-coding RNA, 431 nt
Organism: Dromiciops gliroides (monito del monte)
Lineage: Eukaryota; Metazoa; Chordata; Mammalia; Microbiotheria; Microbiotheriidae
Exons: 3
Source: RefSeq, a predicted model, not a curated record